This 157-nucleotide unclassified non-coding RNA is filed under the name uncultured Helotiales. RNAcentral's name for it is "sequence contains ITS1". Lineage: Eukaryota; Fungi; Ascomycota; Leotiomycetes; Helotiales. The record is from RNAcentral.
CAGAGAUCAUGCCCUCACGGGUAGACCUCCCACCCUGUGUUAUUUACUAUUGUUGCUUUGGCAGGCCGCCCUCGGGCUCUCGGCUUCGGCUGGGAUGCGCUUGCCAGAGGACCCCAACUCUGUGUUUAGUGUCGUCUGAGUACUAUAUAAUAAGUUA